UGAUUUGGAGUUUUUAUGAAGGAUUUAUUGGUGCUCAAAGUUAAGAUAUCAAUUUCAUACCUAUUGCCACUCUUUGCAGCAUAACAUACAUUUACAAAGAGCAACAAAGGAUCGGCGAUUGAAAUUGGGGAGAAAUUUUUUUUGACUAUACUUUUUAUAUUUUUUUUUGAUGAAUUUGGAAUUUAGAUGAAGAAUUUAUAGAAAGUUGAAGUCAAUGCAUCCAAAUCAAAGGCAAUAAGUAAGUGAUUUUGUUCAUAGUAAUGGUUGGAGCCAUAUCUUGAGUUUCUAGACGAAUUUUUGGCUAAAACCUUUUGUA
Molecule: long non-coding RNA, 316 nt
Filed under: Physcomitrium patens
Lineage: Eukaryota; Viridiplantae; Streptophyta; Bryopsida; Funariales; Funariaceae
Description: long non-coding RNA (PPAT_LNC004111)
Source: RNAcentral